Molecule: ribosomal RNA, 506 nt
Filed under: uncultured bacterium
Lineage: Bacteria
Description: partial 16S ribosomal RNA
Rfam family: Bacterial small subunit ribosomal RNA
Source: RNAcentral
AUUGAACGCUGGCGGCAGGCUUAACACAUGCAAGUCGAGCGGUAACAGAGAGAAGCUUGCUUCUCUGCUGACGAGCGGCGGACGGGUGAGUAAUGCCUAGGAAUCUGCCUAGUAGUGGGGGAUAACUUGCCGAAAGGUAAGCUAAUACCGCAUACGUCCUAAGGGAGAAAGGAGGGGCCCUUCGGGCCUUUCGCUAUUAGAUGAGUCUAGGUCGGAUUAGUUAGUUGGUGAGGUAAUGGCUCACCAAGACCGCGAUCCGUAACUGGUCUGAGAGGUUGAUCAGUCACACUGGAGCUGAGACACGGGCCAGACUCCGACGGGAGGCAGCAGUGGGGAAUAUUGGACAAUGGGGGGAACCCUGAUCCAGCCAUGCCGCGUGUGUGAAGAAGGUCUUAGGAUUGUAAAGCACUUUAAGUUGGGAGGAAGAGCAGUUAACUAAUAUUUGACUGUUUUGACGUUACCGACAGAAUAAGCACCGGCUAACUUCGUGCCAGCAGCCGCCGUAA